Molecule: long non-coding RNA, 1950 nt
Organism: Panicum hallii
Lineage: Eukaryota; Viridiplantae; Streptophyta; Magnoliopsida; Poales; Poaceae
Exons: 7
Source: RefSeq, a predicted model, not a curated record
CUUUAACCCAGCCAAUUUCGUCGUGCCAGAAAUCAACCUCAUCCGUCCGAUCGAUGGUUCCAUCUCGCCGUCCCCUCCUCUCCGCCUCCCCCUCGCCCUCCCCUCCUCUCCGUCCGCUCACCCCUCCCCCGUCGCACGCCCCCGCGAUCCGCUCGUUCCCGCGAACCGCACGCCGCCUUCCUCGACUUCGACGUCGCCUCCUCUCCGCCUCCCCCUCGCCCUCCCCUCCUCUCCGUCCGCACGCCGUCGGUGGGCUCGAGCCGGCGCUGGUCGCCCUCGCCCCCUCGCCAUCGCCGUCGACGAUCCGUCGCCGACCCGCUCCAUCGCCGUCGCCCUCGGUGGGCUCGAAACGGAGCUGCAAACCCUUGGGCGGGCUCACCCCCUCGCUAUCGCCGUCUCCCUAGCCCUCGGUCGGCCUUGCGAUCCGCACGCCGGCUCCCUUGCCCUCCCUCGCCAUCGCUGACGAUCCGCGGCGAUCCCCGCGUUCGCCGAGCCAGCAACAGGCGCCAUCAUCGUCGCCCUCGCCGUGCAUCAGUUGGCUUGGCAGGUUGGUAGGUAACAACUAUUCUGACAUUUGCCGUCGAGCUCUGCUAGUCGUACAGAAGAUCUUUUUUUCAAAGGGAUGUGCUCUUCUGCAUAAGGUUGUUCUUUUGCCUAGAUCUUUAUGCAGGGGUGGAGGUCGGACAGAUCCUCAAGCAAACACCAAAUUUGCAUUAUGAGGUAGCCAAAAUUUGAGCAAUUCAUCACCUAUUGAGCAAAAAACACAAGGAUGAUAUGCUAUCCUUCAUGAUUCCUGGCUCAUCCCCUGGCUUUGUAGGUAAACUGUGUGGAGCACACUAGCACACAUGCUAUCAUCAGUUUUUCCCGUAUCUACCUGAACAUGCAUAAUUUGUUCUCAAUCACAAUGGCCAUUGAAAGAAUUUCAUCAGUAUAGCAUAGGAACCUCAUCCUCAUCUCAAAUCUUUAUGUUAAAUAGAAAUGCUACAACAUUGCUUUCGGAGUAACGAUGUUCUAUUUACAGGUUUGUCAAAUUGCUUGAGUUAUUGUCAGGAUGAUCUAAACUAUGUGACAAUGGGUCCAUAACAAGGUCCGCAUACUGACUGCCUCUGAACAAGCUGUUCAAAGAUCCUAAAGUGAGUCGAUGAUAAUACCACAUUGAUCAUGGAGGGAUUUGAUCCCAACAACAUUGGCUGCAUCAAGUUUCAUAACUUUCUCCUUCAAUUCUACUUCUACAUCAACAUGCCCCCAUGAAAUCACCAGUUAUUGGGUACACCGACACCACAUCAAUUGGCCUAAAACAAACAAUUUGCAAAUUUAGAUUCACUACUGGUGCAACCACCAUUCAAGGGACCAAAAAAGCUGGUCAUGCACAGCUCCAACGUCAGCCAUCACUCCUCCACAAUCGUGAUGCUCCCUAUAGUAACUACCAAUCAGUCCAUUCCACGAUAUUAAGAUAUUCAUGUCAGUGAAAAAGGCUUUAACUUUGUUUGCCAGGUUUGCAACGUAAGGUCCAACUUGGGUGCUUUAAUUUCAAAUGUGACAGUUGCUAUUUACUUUUCAUUGACAAACUUGAUCAAAAAACAUUCUCUUUUUUGUAGCAUGUGCUAUUAUUAUAUGUCCAUAUUAUACUUGCUGGCUGUGUUUAGAUUGGAACAAUAAUUCUGAAUUAUUCUGUUUAUUUUCAGUUUGCAUGGAGAUAACGUGAAAGAUGGAUUGAUAAGAGAGCAAGACCAGUCCAGGAGGUUUCUAGGAUCGAUAAGGGAGCAAGGCAUGGAUUUUAAGAGCUUAGAGAAUGAAAAUAUGGGUGGACCCCUCUAGGAUGAUUCCCCCCAUUUAAUUUUUUUUAGCUCAGUUGUGAUGCCUUAGUUACUGAUGGAAGUGUUACGAGAUGAAAGGGUUUAAUAACAUGUAGAAUGCUAUUUAUUGUGUCUUUUAGUUCACAUUGAAUUA